Non-coding RNA from Paramuricea clavata, 546 nucleotides. The record is from the annotation of a GenBank genome assembly. Lineage: Eukaryota; Metazoa; Cnidaria; Anthozoa; Malacalcyonacea; Plexauridae.
GGAACAGGUUGUAACAGACCUGUUGAUUUCAACAGACUUGCUGCAAGUUGUUCUAUCAGACCUGUUAUCUCUUGUUAGUAACAGGCUUGUAGCGGGUUGUUUCAACAAGUCGCUACGGCUCUGUUGUCAACAGCUUGCGACAGACCUGUUACCGCAAGCCUGUUACCGCCUGACGAAACCAACAGACCUGUCGCGACUUGUUGACAACUUGCCGCAAGCCGGUAAAAUCAACAGCUUGCGACAGGCCUGUGAGAUUUCUGGCUGUGUAGUGCAUGUGUGUUUCACCAACACGACUGGAGUUAGAUUCACGGACAUGCACCCAACAGAAUUGUGUUUUCUCAUUUUGGUACGGUAGGCCCUGUGCAAAAAAUUAAAAUCAUUGGAAACAGUGGAUCGCAUGAAGAACAGUGGGAUUUUUAAAUCAAUGAAGAUGGAAUACUGAACAGUGGCACAAUAGACCCUUCCAGAGGCAGAGCCUUGUUUUCGGGAUAGAGAUAUCGGCUUUACAGGCCCUAAUAAUUUAUUUGCUACUGAUGACUAAAUUAU